AAGGGACGAGAAGCUUGCUUCUCUGAUGUUAGCGGCGGACGGGUGAGUAACACGUGGAUAACCUACCUAUAAGACUGGGAUAACUUCUGGAAACCGGAGCUAAUACCGGAUAAUAU
RNAcentral lists this ribosomal RNA (116 nucleotides) under Staphylococcus aureus. Its description in RNAcentral is "partial 16S ribosomal RNA". It matches the Rfam family "Bacterial small subunit ribosomal RNA", at positions 64 to 179 of the family's 1533-position model. The record is from RNAcentral. Lineage: Bacteria; Bacillati; Bacillota; Bacilli; Caryophanales; Staphylococcaceae.